RNAcentral lists this ribosomal RNA (497 nucleotides) under uncultured bacterium. RNAcentral describes it as "partial 16S ribosomal RNA". It matches the Rfam family "Bacterial small subunit ribosomal RNA", at positions 28 to 507 of the family's 1533-position model. The record is from RNAcentral.
GACGAACGCUGGCGGCGUGCCUAAUACAUGCAAGUUGAGUGAUGAAGAUUGGUGCUUGCACCAAUUUGAAGAGCAGCGAACGGGUGAGUAACGCGUGGGGAAUCUGCCUUUGAGCGGGGGACAACAUUUGGAAACGAAUGCUAAUACCGCAUAAUAACUUUAAACAUAAGUUUUAAGUUUGAAAGAUGCAAUUGCAUCACUCAAAGAUGAUCCCGCGUUGUAUUAGCUAGUUGGUGAGGUAAAGGCUCACCAAGGCGAUGAUACAUAGCCGACCUGAGAGGGUGAUCGGCCACAUUGGGACUGAGACACGGCCCAAACUCCUACGGGAGGCAGCAGUAGGGAAUCUUCGGCAAUGGACGAAAGUCUGACCGAGCAACGCCGCGUGAGUGAAGAAGGUUUUCGGAUCGUAAAACUCUGUUGGUAGAGAAGAACGUUGGUGAGAGUGGAAAGCUCAUCAAGUGACGGUAACUACCCAGAAAGGGACGGCUAACUACGUG